ACGGAAGGCAGCAGUGGGGAAUAUUGCACGAUGGGGGAAACCCUGAUGCAGCGACGCCGCGUGAGUGAAGAAGUAUUUCGGUAUGUAAAGCUCUAUCAGCAGGAAAGAAAAUGACGGUACCUGACUAAGAAGCCCCGGCUAACUACGUGCCAGCAGCCGCGGUAAUACGUAGGGGGCAAGCGUUAUCCGGAUUUACUGGGUGUAAAGGGAGCGUAGACGGCUUUGCAAGUCUGAAGUGAAAGCCCGGGGCUCAACCCCGGAACUGCUUUGGAAACUGUAGAGCUAGAGUGCAGGAGAGGUAAGUGGAAUUCCUAGUGUAGCGGUGAAAUGCGUAGAUAUUAGGAGGAACACCAGUGGCGAAGGCGGCUUACUGGACUGUAACUGACGUUGAGGCUCGAAGGCGUGGGGAGCAAACAGGAUUAGAUACCCUGGUA
This 434-nucleotide ribosomal RNA is filed under the name uncultured Lachnospiraceae bacterium. Its description in RNAcentral is "partial 16S ribosomal RNA". It matches the Rfam family "Bacterial small subunit ribosomal RNA", at positions 341 to 792 of the family's 1533-position model. The record is from RNAcentral. Lineage: Bacteria; Bacillati; Bacillota; Clostridia; Lachnospirales; Lachnospiraceae.